This 576-nucleotide long non-coding RNA is filed under the name Dromaius novaehollandiae (emu). Its description in RNAcentral is "lncRNA (ENSDNVG00000006205.1)". The record is from RNAcentral. Lineage: Eukaryota; Metazoa; Chordata; Aves; Casuariiformes; Dromaiidae.
CAGGUGCUUUGGAAACAAGAGGUGAAAAUGAAAGUUGUGAGAGAUCUCUUUCCCUAUCAAUCACUAAAGAGCCUACUAUCAUCUUCUUUAAGAGAAAUCACUGAGAGCUGGGGAUGUCUGCGAGGCCCUGGGCUCCUAAUGAGUGGUUUCACAUAUAAGGGCAAUGGGUUCAGUUUUUGCCUUAUUGUUGGAGUCUCUGGCAACUGCACUUCCCUGUUAACCCUUGCUACGUUUCCAAGGCCUUUUCAGAGAAAAAGUGAUAAAAAGAAACCUUCAGAGUUGGAGAAUUGGGCUGGAUGUGCUAAGAAGACCCAUCCGCUCCCAGGCAAAUCUUCAUGGCACAGCAGGAUUUGCUGGUAGUGUUUGGAUACAGAUCAGGAAUCAGCCCUCAAAGUUGGUAUGGAACUAACUGAGGAAAAGUGGAGUGAGAAGGCAGAGUGGGGUAUUGAAUCUUGGGAGAUGACAACUCCAGGAGCAAGAAUAUUAUCUUCUUAGCAUGGCUGCAUCUCCAGCAUAUUGAGAAAACCCAGCUGAGCACAUCUAAGCCAGAAGAAUAAAAGGUAUCAAUGAAACCCC